RNAcentral lists this long non-coding RNA (1959 nucleotides) under Homo sapiens (human). RNAcentral describes it as "HSALNT0185026". Lineage: Eukaryota; Metazoa; Chordata; Mammalia; Primates; Hominidae. The record is from RNAcentral.
UUUUUUGUAUUUUUUAGUAGAGACGGGGUUUCACCGGGUUAGCCAGGAUGGUCUCGAUCUCCUGACCUCGUGAUCCGCCCAUCUCGGCCUCCCAGAGUGCUGGGAUUACAGGCGUGAGCCACCGCGCCCGGCCGAAAGCAUUGCCUUCUUAACCCAAUCUGAUCCACGGAAAACUCUAAGGGUAGCCUGAACACUCGCAGUGCUUUGGGGAUGGUUUGGAGGGCAGGUGGUAGUGGGAGAUGUUACAAAUGAGGAAGUGACACAAAACUGAGGCAGGAGGCACUGAAACAGACUCUGCCUCCCGCCCCAUCCCAGACAGGAAGCAGAGUCCCACAGACCGCUCCUCCUCACCCUCUACCUCCCUGUGCUCAUGCACUAGGCCCCGGGAAGCCUGUACAUCUCAACAACUUUCGCCUUGAAUGUCCUUAGAACCGCCUUCCCCUACUUCAUCUGUUGACACAGCUUUUAUACUCACCUGUGGAAGAGUCAGCUACUCACCCGCUAUUAGAGUAUGGAGGAAGGGGUUUUCAUUGCAUUGCAUUUCUGAAACAUUCCUAAGACCCUUUAGUUGACCUUCAAAUAUUCAAGCUAUUCUGCAGCUCCAAGAUGCAAUUAUAGAAACAGCUCCUUUUUUAUUUUAUGUCCUCUAUAUGCCAGGUGCUUCACCUGUUAUUUCACUUAAUCCUCAUACCAUAUUUGCAAAGGAUGUGUUAUUAUCUAUGUGUGACAAAUGAGGAAACUGAGGCUCAGGGGAUAAAGGGACUUGCCCAAGUCCCACAGCUGGUGUGUGACUGCAGAGACUGUGCUCUUCCCAGUGUGCUGCAAUACUUCUCAACCCUCCUCUAACCUGCUGUGUCACCCGCUUUCCCUCCCAGCCCCCACAUCCUUACCAUUUUCCCUCCCUGGGAAUUCCUGCUUCUGCGAAAAUGGUAUCCUCUAGCUCACACUUUCCUAAUGGCCCCAUCUCCUGCAGAAGCCAGGUGAGCCCAGCACUGGACUGAAGUUCUUGCAGACACCCCACCUGUGCCCCUAUCAUCAGGGGAACUGCUCCACCUGAGAGGACCAACUCUUUAAUUUUUAGUAAAACCUGGAGGUGAUGGGCCGGGCGCAGUGGCUCACGCCUGUAAUCCCAACACCUUAGGAGUCCGAGGUGGGUGGAUCACGAGGUCAGGAGAUCCAGCCCAUCCUGGCCAACAUGGUGAAACCCCAUCUCUACUAAAAAUACAAAAAUUAGCCGGGCGUGGUGACACGUGCCUGUAGUCCCAGCUACUCGGGAGGCUGAGGCAGGAGAAUCACUUGAACCUGGGAGGCGGAGGUUGCAGUGAGCUAAGAUCACGCCACUGCACUCCAGCCUGCGGACAGACCAAGACUUCAUCCCCCCCAAAAAAAAAAGAUUGGAGGUGAUUUACAGUGAAAGACACAAAUAAAAUACAACUGUUCAAUGGAAAUAGAAAAUAAACACCAUAAAAGAGAGAAGAGAGGUAAUUUGUUAGCAUCAAGAGUCAAGUUGCUAUAUGGUCAAAGGUUAAAUUUAUCUCUAAAAAAUGGCAGGAUUCAAAGUUGUACAUACAUGUGAUUACUUCUGUUUUUUACACCCACAUACAGUACAAAAGAUUAUUAAAAAUAUUCCCAAAAGGCAGGUGCAAUGAUGCACACUUAUACCCCCAGCCACUCAGGAGGCUGAUGCAAGAGGAUCGCUUGAGCCCAGGAGUUGAAGUCCAGCCUAAGCAACAUAGUGAAACCCCAUCGCCAAAAAUAUAAUAAUAAUUCUCUCAAAAUACUAAACAGAGGUGGUUUUAUUGAUAAGAUUUUGGCUGUUUGGUUUUCCACUAUUCUCUAUUGGCUAAAAUUUGUUUAAUGAGCAUGAAAUGUUUUUAUUUUAUUUUGCUUAUUUUUAUGAUUGCAAAAAAUGAUAUGAGUUUCUCCCUGCCAAGGCAAAAAAAUAUAUAUAUACCUAUA